Vigna angularis (adzuki bean) is the source of this 194-nucleotide long non-coding RNA. RefSeq lists it as uncharacterized. The transcript is spliced from 3 exons. The record is from RefSeq and is a predicted model, not a curated record. Lineage: Eukaryota; Viridiplantae; Streptophyta; Magnoliopsida; Fabales; Fabaceae.
UCAGAGAGAUGAACGUACACAGGGUUGUAAGCGAGAUAAUUGGCCAAAGCUUGAGCACGACUUCAAUUUACACUUUGGCCCCAAUGAAAUACGUUGACAACAUGGUGGUGUUAUUUGCUUGUACGGUCUUUAUGUACUUUGAGAAAAGGUUGUGCGGUGUUGUUAAGAGGUUUCAUUUUAGUCCGUUAUACUCG